Long non-coding RNA from Chenopodium quinoa (quinoa), 2918 nucleotides. RefSeq lists it as uncharacterized. The record is from RefSeq and is a predicted model, not a curated record. The transcript has 3 exons. NCBI's taxonomy places the organism in Eukaryota, Viridiplantae, Streptophyta, Magnoliopsida, Caryophyllales, Amaranthaceae.
GGUAAAGAUAUGAGCUUUGUUUUUGUUGAUAAUAUAUAUAUAUAUAUAAAAUCGAGAUCAUAUGAGAACCAAGGCCUAUAAUAGAAACUAGGAACUCAUCUGAGCAAUUGAUUCAUUUGAUCUAACGAUUGGGAUAUUGUCCGCCUUUUUGCUAGAAUAAUGGCAUUUUGGGAAAUCUAUUCAAUACUAUGCAGAAUUCUUUUUUAUUUUGCUUUCUCUCCCCUCUGUAUACUUUCUUUCUCUUGCUAUGAAUUCUCUCUCGAGCUAUUUUUUUCCUUCGAUCUUCGCUCCGUAUUCUUUGAUUUGGUAAAUCUAAUUUCUUAGCUGGUUAUUGCCGAUGAUCAAAAUGUUGAUGCAAAGCUUGGGAAGGCACGACUAGAGCUUAUGGACUGAUAUUCAAGGAUUCAGUCAGAAUCAUGCAAAGAGCAUUUCUAAGACCAAGGUUCAAGAAUGAGGUGAUUAUAUAAGUUGUUGCUCUUGGAAGUUUACAAAUUGCUAAUGUUGAGUAUAGUUUGGCCAACUACCUAGCUUAUGACUCAUGGUAUCAAAGUAGUGUCAUUCUUUUCAAAUUGGAUUUUCUGCAAACUUGGGAUAGCUUGGAGAAUUACCUAGAUGUUAGUGAAAUUCUAUUUACUUUUGAGUUUGUCUUAUUUACUUUUAAGUUGAUGGUAGUUAUUUACAGGCUUUCUUUGUAGCCUUGGGCGUUGUGCGAAUGGUGUGGCUAUAUGUGCUCAAGGAGCACGGGGUAAAGGGUGUGGUGUUGUGUGUCGGUUGCUGUUGUAAAGUUUGGAUGGGCGAAGGAGCUAGGUUGAUGAUGUGCUAUAGGAUAUUCAAUGCUAGAUACAAAUGGAAAGAGGCUAGCAUUCAGAUUUUGGACUUCACUGCAAUGUGUACUGUGUACUUAUCACAAAGACUUCCCCCUGGACCCUCCCCCAUACACUUACAAUUAUAAAAUGGGGCAUAGAUUUUUUUUAUUUACUUUUGAAUUUUUUUUUAAUUUACUUUUGAGCAAUUUUUUAUUACUAUACAUUAGCCUACUAUAGCUCAAAAGGUAGAGCAUUGUUCAAUUAUACAAAAGAUGUGGGUUCGAUACCCAUGUAGGUUUAUAUGUGUAAUUCAGAGACUAAGCUUUGUAUUUAAGUUUAGUUAUGUGUUUAAUUAGAUUUAUACUGUUUUUGUUUACUUUCAAUUUAAUUUUAUUUACUUAUAACUUGAAAUCCCUUACAUUGAACUCUAUAUUUUUUUCUUAUAACUUUUACUCACCUUGUUAGGAUAUAAAAGUCAAUUACUCAGAGAUUUUUUGUGCUACAAUAAUGUUUGCAUAUUGAUUAGUCAUUUCAAGAUAAUUUUAUUGUUCGAAUACUUUACAGCUAAUUUUAUUGUUCGAAUACAUUAGAGCUAAUUUAAUUAACUUUUUAGUUGAUUUAAUUUACUAUUAAGAUAUUUUGAAUAACUUUAGAGAGUUGUAAUUGACCUUUUAGUUAAUUUAAUUUACUAUUAAGAUAUUUUGAAUAACUGAUUUCUACAAACUUUGAGCCGGAAAUCUGCAAGAAUAUACUUGCUAUUCCUCUAUCACGAAGGCUACUGAAUGAUACACUAUUGGCGAUUCACAAAGGAUGGGUUCUUUUUCUGUAAAAUCCGACUAUUGGCUUGCAAAGGGGAGGGGUUAUCUGCUGUGAGUAAUGAGACUCUGAUAACUGGUGAUGAAGAUCUCUGGAGGGGCAUCUGGAAUUUUGAGGGUCCACCAAAAUUGAGACACUUCCUGUGGAAAGCUUGUAAGGGCUUAAUGGCUGUCAAAAACCACUCUAAUACCACCACAUUGUUCAAGAUAAAUCAUUUUCCAUCUACAAUGCUAGCAGCGAAACUAUUAUUCACACCCUGUUCGAGUAUACUCAUGCUGCAAUUUUCGAAGGAUGGAGUGUUGGGUUAGGGGCUGUUAUCAGAUAUGACAGGGGUGCGCUGGUUGUUAUCAUGGUGCGUACGAUGAAGGCUUGCUAUGGGGUGGCUACUGCUGAAGCAUUAGCUGCGCGAUGGGGCUGGUGCUUGCUAAGAGGCUAUUAUACCAACUUGUGGAGCUUGAGUGUGAUGUUGCCACUGAGGGGGGUAAUGGUGUUGCUCGCAUGGCAGCUAGGCUUAACCCAUCUAAUGGCUUUGAGCAUUUUUUUUUGUAAACUCUUUUCCGCAAGGUUUAAUUGCCUUGGCAGAGCUCCAUCUCCUUUAAUUUAUCCAAUCUGCUCUUUGAGCUUCCUUUAAAAAAAAAAAAAAACAAAAGGUAGAAGUUGGACCUACACCUUAAUAAAUUUAAUUUGCAUAUAUAGAGAUUUCAUUUGAAACAAAAAUUUUCCUUUGAUAUACAUACUUUUUUUAAAAUUUACUUUUGAGGUAUUUUUGUUUACUUUGAGUUAUUUUAGUUAAUUCACCUAUGUAGGAAUCGAAUCUACAUCUCCUAUGUAUUUGCUUAAUGUUCUACCUUUGAGCUAAUAGGUUUAGGUUUUAGCAUAGCUAAUAAUCAAUAACACAAACCAAUAUGGAUUGGAUAAUCCCUGAUUUUAUACUUCGUGUGUCUUCUAUUAGUUCCUAAAUUACGAAAACACAAAAAAAAAAAAAAAAAAAAAAAAAAAAAAAAAAAAAAAAAAAACAAAACAAAAAAAAAUAAAAAAUUACGAAGGAAAUAACAGGUUAUUAUGUUCCUAAACUGCAAAAGUUUAAUACGCAAAAUAUAUUACACCAAUAUAUUCAGAUCCCAACCUCAGAAACUAGAGACAACAUCCAUCUUGUCAAAUAAGAAUCUCAAUUUUAGGAUCCAACCUGUAAGCCAAUAAACCAACAAAUUCUUUGAACAUUUUCACUUUAGUGUGCUUGUUCUGCAUCUGCAAGAGCCAAAAAUCAUAUGAACAUUAGUGCAUAUUCAACAAAUU